GAUGAACGCUAGCUACAGGCUUAACACAUGCAAGUCGAGGGGCAGCAUGAUUGAAGCUUGCUUCAAUCGAUGGCGACCGGCGCACGGGUGAGUAACACGUAUCCAACCUGCCGAUAACUCGGGGAUAGCCUUUCGAAAGAAAGAUUAAUACCCGAUAGUAUAGUAUUUCCGCAUGGUUUCACUAUUAAAGAACUUCGGUUAUCGAUGGGGAUGCGUUCCAUUAGAUAGUUGGCGGGGUAACGGCCCACCAAGUCAACGAUGGAUAGGGGUUCUGAGAGGAAGGUCCCCCACAUUGGAACUGAGACACGGUCCAAACUCCUACGGGAGGCAGCAGUGAGGAAUAUUGUCAAUGGACGAGAGUCUGAACCAGCCAAGUAGCGUGAAGGAUGACUGCCCUAUGGGUUGUAAACUUCUUUUAUACGGGAAUAAAGUGGAGUAUGCAUACUCCUUUGUAUGUACCGUAUGAAUAAGGAUCGGCUAACUCCGUG
RNAcentral lists this ribosomal RNA (488 nucleotides) under uncultured bacterium. RNAcentral's name for it is "partial 16S ribosomal RNA". It matches the Rfam family "Bacterial small subunit ribosomal RNA", at positions 28 to 507 of the family's 1533-position model. The record is from RNAcentral.